This 85-nucleotide transfer RNA is filed under the name Candidatus Methanofastidiosia archaeon. RNAcentral describes it as "Candidatus Methanofastidiosa archaeon tRNA". It matches the Rfam family "tRNA". From Rfam's summary of the family: Transfer RNA (tRNA) molecules are approximately 80 nucleotides in length. Their secondary structure includes four short double-helical elements and three loops (D, anti-codon, and T loops). Further hydrogen bonds mediate the characteristic L-shaped molecular structure. tRNAs have two regions of fundamental functional importance: the anti-codon, which is responsible for specific mRNA codon recognition, and the 3' end, to which the tRNAs corresponding amino acid is attached (by aminoacyl-tRNA synthetases). tRNAs cope with the degeneracy of the genetic code in two manners: having more than one tRNA (with a specific anti-codon) for a particular amino acid; and 'wobble' base-pairing, i.e. permitting non-standard base-pairing at the 3rd anti-codon position. Lineage: Archaea; Methanobacteriati; Methanobacteriota; Candidatus Methanofastidiosia. The record is from Rfam by way of RNAcentral.
GCCGAGGUUGCCGAGUUUGGAAAGGCGCAAGCCUGGAGAGCUUGUUCUGCAUUGCAGAACCAGGGUUCAAAUCCCUGCCUCGGCG